CGAUUAUAUAAGCAAGAGUUCUUCAAACAACUGUUUCUGAUCACCCCUCCUUAGUAUUCAAUGAUCUUUUCGAGUCUAAGUACCUAGCCAGUAAUUUCACCCUUGACUCGAUGACUUAACUAAACCCUUGACUCCACCGUCUGGCCAUAAAAUAAAAACCACUUCCAAAGUGCAGCAGCAGCAGCAGCCGCAGCACAAGCAGUUGAAACAAGACUUUAGGACCGAGCAAGUGUUAAUUUGUGGCCACAUCAACCCGAGCUCUUGUUGAACCCGGCAACCCUGAAAACAGCCCUCCGGCAAGUGCAGCUUAAUAAAAAAAAAAAAGCAGCAGCAAAAAAUUAAGAGAUUAAUACGAGACAAGCAAAUGCAAAAUUUCAGCCAUAAACAAGUCGGGAGAGCUCGGCACAAGACAGGGAAUGCGAUAAAACCAGCAUGAAAGUAAUGUUAAAUUCGGAAGUCGAGGCGGGAAAUACACUCGAAAAAUCAUGGCAAAUUUCUUAAUAAAAACAUUCAAUUGGAAACAGGAAAAAUAACUUAAUACAGAU
This is a non-coding RNA of Drosophila melanogaster (fruit fly), 545 nucleotides long. Lineage: Eukaryota; Metazoa; Arthropoda; Insecta; Diptera; Drosophilidae. The record is from Ensembl.